This is a long non-coding RNA of Homo sapiens (human), 1256 nucleotides long. Ensembl annotates it as MIR4435-2 host gene. The record is from Ensembl. Lineage: Eukaryota; Metazoa; Chordata; Mammalia; Primates; Hominidae.
GGCGGCCACCUGCCCACAGAGGCACAGAGGGCCAGCCAACUGCAAGCACGGAACUUCAGGAUCUUGCUUUUCGGGUUCUUCUGAGCUAUGAAGGGGCCCAGAUUUAAGGGCUAUUUUUGACACCCUAAAUGUGCUGAGACAAGUCAUUAAGGUGGUCCUGCCAGGACACAGCCAUCUAAAGCAGCAAUCUGCUUCUUGCCAGAAAAUCUCGUGCCUCUGCAGAGCCUUUUCCAGAAUGAACCACACCAUGCUGAGGAAAGGAGAAAGAGACUACCUACUGCAUUUCUGUCACUCGCUGAAAAGGACACUCUGUCAGAAAAUCUUCUAGCAAACUUCAAAGGGCAAAAUCACCCCUUGUUACUGAUAAAGCCCAGAGAGCUUCAGCAGCUAACAUUCCCUGGACAGGGCACAGCAAGGAUUUGAACCUAGCUCACCAAGCUCCUGUAUCUACUGGAAAAUGGAAGUCCAGCCUUACCAACUUGUGAACCUUGUCUGAAGGGAGCCAGGGCCUGCCAAUGGAACCACCUCCAGGAGCUGCAACUGCUGUUGUCAUUAAUACCAUUGUGUCUAUUUUUUGAGAGAGAUAAACUUUUCAUGGUGUUACAUUUUGGAAAAAAAAAAAAAAGACUAGGUGAACAGUCAGGUAGGAAAGCAGCAUAACAGUCCCUUAAAUUCUGAUCAUGUAGGACAUUCUUCUUUGCCCUGGGCCUGGGAAAAUGCAGCAUGUUCCAGAGCAAAAGUCCUAAUGAGGGGAACUAAACCAGUGGGACCCAAACCAAUGUCCUGGCUCACUGAGGACCCGUUAGAACCAAAUCUCUGGGUGUGGACAGGCUCCCAUACUUUUCAAAAAUUCCCCUGAUGACUAAUGAACAACCAGAGGUAAGAACCAGUGGCCCAGAGGAAUAACCAGCCCAGCUGUUGUACGAGCUCGCUAAGCUGGCUCAGGUCAAUGUUGAAUUCUCUGCUAGGCAGCUCCUCAUAAGAACUGGCAGAGAUGGUUCUUACACAACAACAGGUGACAACUCCAGACUCUGCCGGAAGUUCCAGGAUCUGGGUUCCCGGACAAUGCAUGACACUCAGUCCAGCAUUGCAGGUGGAAGAGCGACGGUGAAAAGACCAAAGUCAAUUAAAAUGUGUUAACCAAAACAGGAAACAUGAGUGAGGUGAUUGAGAGUGUGUUUAACUUAGAUGUGUGAUUUUAUCAAUACUUUCAUUGUUCAAAAACUCUUAUUUUUUAAAGAUAUUUUCAAAACAAA